RNAcentral lists this long non-coding RNA (354 nucleotides) under Citrus maxima (pomelo). Its description in RNAcentral is "long non-coding RNA (CMAX_LNC001852)". The record is from RNAcentral. Lineage: Eukaryota; Viridiplantae; Streptophyta; Magnoliopsida; Sapindales; Rutaceae.
GGGCGGUGGUGUUCCACCAUAGUUGUUGGGCGGUGGUGUUCCACCAUAGUUGUUGGGCGGUGGUGUUCCACCAUAGUUGUUCUGCGGCAUCCCUCCGAGGUUGUUCUGUGGCAUCCCUCCGAGGUUGUUCUGUGGCAUCCCUCCAAGGUUGUUCUGUGGCAUGCUUCCCAUAUUUGGUGACAUGUUGCUGCUGGAAGGGACGUUGUUAGGGGGCAUGCCACUCAUAUUAGGUGCAGGGUUUGGCAUACCCUGGUUCUGAAAAUUGCGGUUCUGCAUGUUCUCCCUUCUUCUUUCAAAGUUUCUAGAUCUAUCGUAGCUGCGAGGCCUAUCAUUGCGCCUAUUACGCUCAUUAGC